This is a long non-coding RNA of Pan troglodytes (chimpanzee), 2516 nucleotides long. RefSeq lists it as uncharacterized. Lineage: Eukaryota; Metazoa; Chordata; Mammalia; Primates; Hominidae. The record is from RefSeq and is a predicted model, not a curated record. The transcript is spliced from 3 exons.
GGGUUCUGGAGGGCGAGGAGGAGCAGGAUGGAGCCUGUUACCAGAAGUACUUGAAACCUCUUACUGAGACCCUUCAACCUCUCCUCUGAGGAGCUGUCAAGGGGAAGAGGACAGCAUCUGUUUUUAUAACUUCCAAGUGAACAUAGUCCUCUAUUUUACACCUAAUAGUGUCCUGAUGAGUGGCGACCUUCUCAGCGAGGACUGACAACCACACGGGUUCCUACUUCAUGACCAGACCAGGGUCACCAUGGAGACAUUUCUCAUUGGGUCAGCUUAUUAUGCCAUAGGAAACAUCUGAUUGAAAUGGAACUCACUGACCUAAAGCUCCUAAAAGAAAAUUUUCUAGGUCGGUGACAGACAAGUUGGCUGCUUCAGAAAAGGUAUUUACUGUAAUUCUGGAGAUCAUAUUGGGUCGCAAACUUGCUGCCUGUGAGUGCAAUCCAGCCCACAGGUUCAUUCUGUGUGACAGGCACUGUGUUUAAAAGGUAAGAAUUGGAGGGCCUUUAGGUGGGAAGUGCCCUCUCCAGUUUACAGUGAGCCUCAUCGUUUCCUAUUUUCCUAGACUUAGCCGCAUGACACAUUACAUGUCACCUGCCAGGCCUCUAAAAAUGUGAAAAUCAUGACCUUCAGGCAUUCUGUUCAUGGUCCAUCCCUGUGCCCUGUGCCCUAGGUUUGACUUGAGGUUUCUCACCGAUGCCUCCCACAGCUGGGCCUUGUUCCUCACAAAGAGUUUCUGGUGAAACCAGAGUCAUAAAGACUGGAUUAAGAGGAAAGUUCAAGGAAUCCCAGGAUCUAAGAGCUUGCAGGAAAACUUAAGAAUUUGGGAUCCUGCAACCCCUGAUGAGCAACCUGAGACACAGAAAAGGGAAAUGCCUUGGAAAGGUCAGCCCCAGAAGGAAGAGAGCAGAGAGGGAAACCCAGGACUAGUGAUUCCCCAUCCUGUAUGCUGCACCCACCACCCCACGCAGCUGGCCUGAAUGAUUGGUGUAGCCCUUCCCCACAUUCCUAGAGAGUGUGUCUUUUACAAAGCCACCGUCCACACACACAGAGUGGCACCAGCUGUGCAACCAACCCCUCUUACACUAGACCGCUGUGUCUGGUGACUUGAAAGUCAAGGCCAACGUGGUCACACUAUGGCCACUAAGUCUUAAAGAAAAGUACUUCUCUAUCAUUGGCAGAGAACUUUAGGCUGGAGACAGAUUAAAGUUUAAAACAAAUCCAAGGAGUCAACUUUGUAGACAACACAGGUUAUUUAAGCCUCUGUUCCUUCUUUGUUAGAGUACACUGAAACUUUUCUUCAGAGCUGACCCUGGAAGUAGGCAGAAAGGUUGCUGUCUCUUUAAGUUGCCUUAAACUACCUCAGGAGAGCUUCCAUCAGCCAAAAAUCCCCUUGUAGAGCAGCCCUUCCAUUCUCAACCAAGGCAAAAAUACCUGAAAUUCAGUUAAUAGCAAUUCAUUCAUAUGAGCUAAAUGUUGCCCCCUUGAAGCAUUGUGCUUUGUGAAAAAAAAAUUCCUGGAAGGGGAGAGGUCUGGAUUGGUUGGCUCAAUUAGCUUUUCUUGUGAGUGGAAGGUAUUGAGGGCAGGGAGAACCCUGAGAAUUAGUGAGAGGCAGAAGAGCAGAACAAAGAGGUGUUGAGAUAGGGACAUUGGCAAACAAAGAAGCUAGAGGUAAAGGGGUUAAUGAAAGAGAUAUCCAAAGGAAACCACUGGUGUCAUAUAACAGUGGGGGCAUCUACGGGCAGGAGAGCAUGAUCGGGCCACUGAGACUGGUCUACUAGGGGUUGGCUAUAGCCUCCCACCCACUACCCUUGAAAUUCUUAGUCCCCAACUCCCACCAAGAUUUUCAGCAAAUACCUCCAAGGAGCUGAAAGAACACAAGAACCUGAAGUAGUAACUCAGUGGCUGGUCCAUGAGCUUAAUAAGUAUCUGUUGAAUGAACAAAUCGAAUAUUUCCAGUGCAUCCCUCUGAAGCCAUCUUGAUUGUUAAAGCCUUCUUGCUUGGUCUCUAGUGCAUUUGAUCAAGGGUGUGGUGCCUAUGAAAUAGGUUCUAAUUCCAUGAGGUGUGGAGUGGAAUGGACCUGGAAUCCGUACUUUGCAUUUUGUGGGAUUAUCCUUGGUUGAAGUUGUUUCUCACAUCAGUGGAACAGAGGCUUCAUUCAUAAUUCAUGCAUUUGACGUCUCUGGCAAGUAUUGCUUACCAGAUGGGAUUCUCAACAGUAACAGAAACAGAAAGCAGGUUGCUCCAUAGAGUUGGAGUGAAAUCACAGGUGGAGGUAUGGUAUGAACUGAAGUUCUCUAGUUAAGGCAGAGACCUUUGAGAGGUCACUGAGUUGCAACUUCUAUUGGUUCUACAAGGUAAUGAGAGGUGAAGAUGAAGCAAUAAGACAGAAAUGCUACCUCUGGAAGCUGAUGGCCACUGCUGUCUUCUGGGAGGGAAAACAAGGCCUAGAAUGACUAAGAGGCUGCUUAUUGUUACAGGUUAACCCUGGAGUAGAAUAGGCCCAAGCCAAUAUUGC